GGGGACGAGUGGUUUCGACAGAGGAGGAGCGCUACAGGAUUGCAGGCCGAGGUGCCACUUAUCUCGCAAAACAAGUGGCAAAAAAGUAACUGACGAAUACGUCUACGCUAGCUAAGCGAGACACGUCCCCCUAGCCUCCCUCGAUGGGCUUUGGAUGACGACGAGCAGUCGAGGUGCGGCAAUCCUGACGUCGAUAAGGGUUGCCAAAGAAUUUAUCGACUGGCGCAACCGUCCUCGGUCGGCAGAGGACGGUUGGGUGAGAGCAAAGAGCCGACUAAGCUUGUAGCAUAUCCUGGGGGGACCUUCUCUGGACGGGGAGUUCGACUCUCCCCCGUCUCCACCA
RNAcentral lists this transfer-messenger RNA (343 nucleotides) under Dehalococcoidia. RNAcentral's name for it is "E29-bin15 sp004377275 Standard tmRNA". It matches the Rfam family "transfer-messenger RNA". Rfam says of the family: Bacterial tmRNA, also known as 10Sa RNA or SsrA, is named for its dual tRNA and mRNA-like properties. Its role is to liberate the mRNA from a stalled ribosome. To accomplish this part of the tmRNA is used as a reading frame that ends in a translation stop signal. RNAcentral also lists the same sequence under 2 other names. The record is from RNAcentral. Lineage: Bacteria; Bacillati; Chloroflexota.